UGAGAAAGCUAAUUCCUAACUCUAUGAAAGACCAUAGCUUUGUCUAUUUCAACUGUAGCUCUAAAGAAAACUUUAGUGUAGAUGGGAGCAGAAGGUGUUCAACUGCUGACAAAACAUACCUGCGUAAGGGCUGUGCAAGAAUAGCAAAGACAUGAAGACUUUCAUAAAAACUACAAUAAACACAAAGGAAGGUGUAUUUUGAGUCA
RNAcentral lists this long non-coding RNA (206 nucleotides) under Anas platyrhynchos platyrhynchos (common mallard). RNAcentral's name for it is "lncRNA (ENSAPLG00000018046.1)". The record is from RNAcentral. Lineage: Eukaryota; Metazoa; Chordata; Aves; Anseriformes; Anatidae.